AGAUAAUAGAUACCCUGGUAGUCCUAGCCUUAAACGAUGGGCACUUGGUGUCGGGGUAGUUGAGUCCUUCGGUGCCGGAGUUAAACAACGUUAAAGUGCCCGCCUGGGGAGGUACGGUCGCAAGACUGAAACUACAAAGGAAUUGACGGGGGCCCGGCACAAGCGGUGGAGCAUGUGGUUCAAUUACGACGCAACGCGAAGAACCUUACCGGGUCGUCGAACGGUGACCGCUAUUCCUGGAAACAGGGAAUUCUCUUCGGAGACGGUUACCGAGGUGCUGCAUGGCUGUCGUCAGCUCGUGUCGUGAGAUGUUGGGUUAAGUCCCGCAACGAGCGCAACCCUUGCCCUUAGUUGCUAACAGGUUAAGCUGAGCACCCUAAGGGAACUGUCGGCGAAAAGCCGGAGGAAGGUGGGGAUGACGUCAAGUCCUCAUGGCCCUUACGUCCCGGGGCUACACACGUGCUACAAUGGUCGGAACAGAGGUCGC
RNAcentral lists this ribosomal RNA (487 nucleotides) under uncultured bacterium. RNAcentral describes it as "bacterial SSU rRNA". It matches the Rfam family "Bacterial small subunit ribosomal RNA", at positions 774 to 1250 of the family's 1533-position model. The record is from RNAcentral.